GUAUUUGUUAUGUUCUUGAAACCCAAAGGAUUUGGCGGUAUUUUAGUCCUUUCAGAGGAACCUGCCCCUUAAUUCGACAUCCCACGAUUUCAUUUACUUUUGCUUGUUAUUCAGUUUGUAUAUCUCCGUCAUAAGAGAGUCUUUUUAGAGUAAAUUUUCCUUUUCUUUAAAUAAGAAUAUGUCAGGUCAAGGUGCAAUUUAUGUAAAAGUGGAGGUGGGUUACAAUAUAUUUAUGUAUAUGGAUUGAUAUUUUUGUAGUAUCAUGAAGGUGGAUUUGAUAGUAAGGCUGGUUGGUUUUAUCGGCUUGAUUCUGGCUCUAAAAUAUGCACACAUCGCCCG
This 339-nucleotide ribosomal RNA is filed under the name Sympecma annulata. Its description in RNAcentral is "partial 12S ribosomal RNA". It matches the Rfam family "Microsporidia small subunit ribosomal RNA", at positions 757 to 1198 of the family's 1311-position model. The record is from RNAcentral. Lineage: Eukaryota; Metazoa; Arthropoda; Insecta; Odonata; Lestidae.